RNAcentral lists this ribosomal RNA (253 nucleotides) under uncultured bacterium. RNAcentral describes it as "partial 16S ribosomal RNA". It matches the Rfam family "Bacterial small subunit ribosomal RNA", at positions 524 to 776 of the family's 1533-position model. The record is from RNAcentral.
UACGGAGGGUGCGAGCGUUGUCCGGAAUCACUGGGCGUAAAGGGCGCGUAGGCGGCGCGGGGAGUCAACGGUGAAAGCUCGGCGCUCAACGCCGAGUCGGCCGUCGAUACUCCCGUGCUCGAGCACUGUAGAGGCAGGUGGAAUUCCGGGUGUAGCGGUGGAAUGCGUAGAGAUCCGGAAGAACACCGGUGGCGAAGGCGGCCUGCUGGGCAGUGGCUGACACUGAGGCGCGACAGCGUGGGGAGCAAACAGG